UACAGAGGUCUCAAGCGUUGUUCGGAUUCAUUGGGCGUAAAGGGUGCGUAGGCGGCGCGGUAAGUCGGGUGUGAAAUCUCGGAGCUUAACUCCGAAACUGCAUUCGAUACUGCCGUGCUUGAGGACUGGAGAGGAGACUGGAAUUUACGGUGUAGCGGUGAAAUGCGUAGAUAUCGUAAGGAAGACCAGUGGCGAAGGCGGGUCUCUGGACAGUUCCUGACGCUGAGGCACGAAAGCCAGGGGAGCGAACGGG
RNAcentral lists this ribosomal RNA (253 nucleotides) under uncultured bacterium. Its description in RNAcentral is "partial 16S ribosomal RNA". It matches the Rfam family "Bacterial small subunit ribosomal RNA", at positions 524 to 776 of the family's 1533-position model. The record is from RNAcentral.